CCCUUUGAUACUCUGGGCGGCACGCGCGCUACAAUGGAUAACUUAACGUGUUACAUGUCCGAAAGGAUGUAUGCAAAUCACAAAUGUUAUGUCUCGAGUGGGAUAGUUUACUGCAAUUAUAGACUUGAACUAGGAAUCCCUUGUAGGUACACUGAAGCAUAGUGUACCGAAUACGUCCCUGCCGUUUGUACACACCGCCCGUCGUACCUACCGAUUGGAUGGUCCGGUGAAGCCUCGGGAUUGUGGUUCUUGCCGCUUUAUUGUGGCGUGACCGCGAGAACUUGUCUAAACCUUAUCAUCUAGAGGAAGGUGAAGUCGUAACA
Molecule: ribosomal RNA, 323 nt
Filed under: uncultured eukaryote
Lineage: Eukaryota
Description: partial 18S ribosomal RNA
Rfam family: Eukaryotic small subunit ribosomal RNA
Source: RNAcentral